AGACUAACUAUUUGAGAGAUUAGUACUUUUCAUUCGGUGACUUUUAGAAAGUUGGCGGUCGAUGCAAGCCAACAGUCACCCAAAAGGAAUCCACUCUCUAGCAAUGCAUAACGAAAAUUUGUUUAGCAAAUCAAAAGUUAUGACGGUUUGACCCGUUAACAAUCUAACGAAGAUACACGCUAUUGUGUAAAUUUGGGUGGCACCGCGACGUUCAACCUCUCGCCCCAUAA
This 230-nucleotide non-coding RNA is filed under the name Vagococcus penaei. RNAcentral describes it as "T-box sequence". It matches the Rfam family "T-box leader". From Rfam's summary of the family: Uncharged tRNA acts as the effector for transcription antitermination of genes in the T-box leader family. T-boxes are found upstream of many aminoacyl-tRNA synthetase genes and some amino acid biosynthetic genes usually in Gram-positive bacteria. The record is from RNAcentral. Lineage: Bacteria; Bacillati; Bacillota; Bacilli; Lactobacillales; Enterococcaceae.